RNAcentral lists this ribosomal RNA (497 nucleotides) under uncultured bacterium. RNAcentral's name for it is "partial 16S ribosomal RNA". It matches the Rfam family "Bacterial small subunit ribosomal RNA", at positions 28 to 507 of the family's 1533-position model. The record is from RNAcentral.
GAUGAACGCUGGCGGCGUGCCUAAUACAUGCAAGUCGAGCGAACAGAUGCGGAGCUUGCUCCUCUGACGUUAGCGGCGGACGGGUGUGUAACACGUGGAUACCCUACCUAUAAGACUGGGAUAACUUCGGGACACCGGCGCUAAUACCGGAUAAUCUAUUGCACCGCAUGGUUCAAUAGUGAAAGACGGUUUUGCUGUCACUUAUAGAUCGAUCCGCGCCGCAUUAGCUAGUUGGUACGGUAACGGCUUACCAAGGCAACGAUGCGUAGCCGACCUGCGAGAGGGAUCGGCCACACUAGAACUGAGACACGGUCCAGACUCCUACGGGAGGCAGCAGUAGGGAAUCUGCCGCAAUGGUCGAAAGCCUGACGGAGCAACGCCGCGUGAGUGAUGAAGGUCUUCGGAUCGUAAAACUCGGUUAUGAGGGAAGAACAAAUGUGUAAGUAACUAUGCACGUCUUGACGGUACCUAAUCAGAAAGCCACGGCUAACUACGUG